UGGGGAAUAUUGCACAAUGGGCGCAAGCCUGAUGCAGCCAUGCCGCGUGUGUGAAGAAGGCCUUCGGGUUGUAAAGCACUUUCAGCGAGGAGGAAGGUGGUGAGCUUAAUACGCUCAUCAAUUGACGUUACUCGCAGAAGAAGCACCGGCUAACUCCGUGCCAGCAGCCGCGGUAAUACGGAGGGUGCAAGCGUUAAUCGGAAUUACUGGGCGUAAAGCGCACGCAGGCGGUUUGUUAAGUCAGAUGUGAAAUCCCCCGGGCUCAACCUGGGAACUGCAUUUGAAACUGGCAAGCUAGAGUCUCGUAGAGGAGGGUAGAAUUCCAGGUGUAGCGGUGAAAUGCGUAGAGAUCUGGAGGAAUACCGGUGGCGAAGGCGGCCCCCCUGGACGAAGACUGACGCUCAGGUGCG
Molecule: ribosomal RNA, 410 nt
Filed under: uncultured bacterium
Lineage: Bacteria
Description: partial 16S ribosomal RNA
Rfam family: Bacterial small subunit ribosomal RNA
Source: RNAcentral